This 4704-nucleotide long non-coding RNA is filed under the name Sus scrofa (pig). Its description in RNAcentral is "lncRNA (ENSSSCG00040019721.1)". The record is from RNAcentral. Lineage: Eukaryota; Metazoa; Chordata; Mammalia; Artiodactyla; Suidae.
ACCUGUGGCAUAUGGAGGUUCCGAGGCUAGGGGUCUAAUUGGAGCUGUAGCUAACGGCUUACACCAGAGCCACAACAAUGCAGGAUCCGAGCCACGUCUGCAACCUACACCACAGUUCACGGCAACACCGGACCCUUAAUCCACUGAGUAAGACCAAGGAUCGAACCUGCAACCUCAAGGUUCCUAGUUGGAUUCAUUAACUACUGAGCCACGACAGGAACUCCAAGCUGCUGCAUUUGAUCCCAACAUAAAGCCUGGGUCUAGGAGAUGUUGUCUCCUGCAUAAGCAUCAAGCCCCAGACCCUGUGACUUCCAAAUCACAGGGCUUGUUUGAACUAUCUACUUAGUCCUUUACUAAGAAUGUCAAAGUGUGAAUUUGUGAGAUCCCAGGACGGGCAGCUCAGGGAGCAGCAGAUUUUGCUGGUUCCAAACAGCAAGAAAUUCCUUUGGUUUAAAAGAACCGGAUCCAACUGGAAUCAGCCUUGUGAAGUGCGAGCCUGGCUCUGCAGUUACUGACCAGCAGUGCUGAGCCGUCCAUCACACUGAUUUCACCUGUCUGUCCCUCCCCACCUCUCCCCAUCACCAUGCUGUCUCCACGCAGACAACUGGCCGAAGGAGCUGGCCAUGCUGCAGUGGCCCUCAGGGCAGCUGCUACGAUGGGCGCCUGGCAUCCAGAUGUUCCCAUCUGUGGUUGGUACUGCUCAGCACCAAGGCACAUGAGGGAAAGACGGACUCCCUCUGUAAUCCCAAUGCUUGGGUGAGAGAAACUACCCCAGUCCCCACCCUCACACGGUCACAGUCUAUACAGGUGAGCCUUGGUGGUACUAUCUCCAGUUGUUCCUGCUGCUCUUUUUAUUCAUUUACUGGCCACCUGCAGCAUACAGAAGUUCCAAGGCCUGGGAUCAAACCUGUGCCACAGCAGCGACCACGCCGGAGCCUUAACCCACUGAGGCACCAGGGAACUCCCCUGCUGCCACUUCCACCUUGAUCGCGGCUCUCGUGUGUGCAUCUUACUCCCCACCACGGUCCGGUCACCCUGGCUUCUACGCGAAACUUUUAAAUACCACCACGCAUGCGCAGGUAUGCAUACACGCAUGCGCCGCCAGCAGGUGAAAGGCCCUGCCUCGGGAUCUGGCCGUCUAGCCCUUAAUAGAGGUUCCUCCUCCAGCCGUCAGCCCUGGAGGCCCCGUGGCUCUGACCACACCACUCCUCCCAAAUGAGGAUCUUUCCCCAUCUUUUAAAAAAAAAAAAUUUUUUUUUUUUUUUGGUCUUUUUUUGCCUUUUCUAGGGCCGCUCCCACGGCAUAUGGAGGUUCCCAGGCUAGGGGUCUAAUCAGAGCUGUAGCCACCAGUCUACACCAGAGCCACAGCAGCGCUGGAUCCGAGCUGCGUCUGUGACCUACACCACAGCUCACGGCAACGCGGGAUCCUUAACCCACUGAGCAAGGCCAGGGAUUGAACCCUCAACCUCAUGGUUCCUGGUCGGAUUUAUUAACCACUGCGCCAGGACAGGAACCCCAUCUUUUCAAAUUUUUGUUUCCACCUUUUAGGGCCACACCAAGACCAAAUGGAAGUUCCCAGGCUGGGGUUGAAUUGGAGCUGCAGCUGCUGGUCUACACCACAGCUACAGCAACUCAGGAUCAGUCACGUCUGUGACCUACAUCACAGCUCAAGGCAAUGCUGGAUCCCCCACCCACUAAGUGAGGCCAGGGAUUGAACCCACAUCCUCAUGGAUACUAGUCAGAUUUGUUUCCACUGCACCACAACAGGAACUCCCCAUUUUCUCAAUGUCAAUCCAACAUCAGCUAUCUUUCAAUAGUAUAUUCCUUCCACACUAGUAUAUUCCUUCCAAUCUUCUAUAACACUGAAAUGUUUUAGCCCAGAUUGCAUUCUUUGGAACUCUGGUUCCAAGAAAUAAAAGAAGGGAGGAUUCCACCAUCUACAUUUCAUAUACACUGCUUCCUUUACGCCAUUUUGGGUAUUUACAAAGCAUCACCAAUGGCACUGCGAAAUCCUGCAGUAAAAAAAAAAAUUCUCUAGGAUCAACCUGAAUUUUCCCAUUCUCUCUUUGACUGUAGGCUCUUUGGGGCAUAACAUUUAUUUGUGGUCUGCACCCUGACCUGCACUGCCACAGUAAGAACUACCUGACUCACAGGUGGCCUGAACAUGAAAACAGCAGAGGGGUUUUUUUUGUUGUUUUUUUAAGCCUCUGUUCCUCCAGGCACAAAUGCAGCCAGAUGUUCUGUUUCAUUUCAGAAGCCACCGUGCUGAUUUAGCUACCAGAUUCCAAAGACCCUGCAGAGGGCUGCACUCAGUGGGCGCUCAGUGGUCACAGCCUGAUCCAUGAAAUCCGGGAGGAGAACUCAUCUGAGAGCCAUGGGUUUAGGAGAAUUGGGGUGGGGGUGUGGGUUGGCAUCAGGCCCCCUUGUUGCUUUCUUGAGAAGUUGACAGCAACUUUUCUCCCAAGUAGGGGUGUCUGAGCCAAAGGUCCACAUAGAGUCCAGAAACAUCCCUCUGGAGUGCUCUCAGUCCUGGAUGCUGAGGCCACGGUGGUGCCUCUUGCACACAGAGGACCAGCCACUCAGUGGCAGAACACUGUUAGGUGCUGAGAGAACCCUAAACAGAAAACAUCAUUCUCUCAGUCUGGAGGGCACCCCAGGGAUCAACUGGAAAUGUUGUCCAACAGCUCCACCCCCUGGAGUAUGACUUCAAUCUCAACAGGGACAGAGGUCUCCUACAACUAGUCCUUGGCCCCUGGACCUCUGAGUGCUAGAAGGGCAGUCAUUUAGGGGAAAUGUAUGGCCAAGCCAUCUGUUCAGAAGGACGCCUGGGCCUCCUGCUGUCGGCUUCCUUUCUCUGUGGGUCCUUCCUACUCAGAGAAUGUGGCCAAGUACAGCACCUCCCACGGCUGGAGAGUCUUUAAUGGAGGCAGAAUUUCACCACAAAAUCUCUCCCCACCUCGUCCCCUUUGUUUCCAUAAGUUGCUGUGAAGCCACAUUUUAUCAAUCAGGACCUGCUGCUACGUAAGGCAGCAGUGAAGAGUCCAGGUGGUCAAGGACGAGUCUCACCUGUCAUAGACCCCACCUUCCUUCUUGCCAAGCACUGUGUGCAGGGUGGCACUGGGCUCCCAGCACAGGUGCUGAGAGCUGUCACCUGCGUCCAGGCCCCUAUUCAGAACAUGCAAGGCCGGUGGUUCCAACAUGUUUAAGAAUUCCAGGAUGGUGACAGCAGCGCAUUAAAUCAGGUACGACCUUCUGAGCACAGGGCCCUGUGCAACUGCGCAGGUCUUAUGCCUGCCAGGUUGGUCCAGCUGAUCUCUCCCAAGGACUCUGGGGGCUUAAUGGUCUCACCCUAAGUCUUCAUGGUGACAAGACAGCUGUCCCAGCCUCCUGGAAAGACUUCCUUGAAAGGGGACCCUCUGGCAGCCCCUCUGAGUGACCUCUCCAGAUUUCCACUCACUCAAAGAACCCUUACAGCCCUGGAUGGCCCCUCUAAUCAUCUGGGUUGACUUAACCUCCACAUGCUGGUGGGGUCGGGCUCUUUCUUCUAUAUCGUAUCCAUCCCCAAUCUUGAGGUUAUUUUUCAUUGAUCUGUUUCUUUUUGGGUCCAGAAAAAUCAGGCUUCCUUCCUACCUGGCAACCACAUCUACUUUCCCAAGUUCAGGUCAAAUUUUCUCCACACACAGGGAGUUCCCGACGUGGCGCAGCAGAAACGAAUUCGACUCGGAAGCAUGAGGUUGUGGGUUCCAUCCCUGGCCUCACUCCGUGGGUUAAGGAUCUGGCAUUGCCAUGAGCUGUGGUGCAGGUCGAAGAUGCGGCUUGGAUCUGGCGUGGGCUGGCAGCUCCAGCUCCUAUUUGACCCCUAGCCUGGGAACCUCCAUAUGCCUCAGGUGAGGCCCUGAAAACAAAACAAAACAAAAUAAAUUUUCUCUACACAGAUAUCUGUCAGAACCUGCUUCUCCCAGUGCCCAAGUGUCUCCCCCAGGAGAGACCGGCACAGCCAGGCCUGCGUCUAUCACGAGCAUCUGUGUUUCUGUGAGCUGGCUGCCUGCUGGACCCAUUCAUUCCAAACUUCCCCUUAGACUGACUUUCUCUUUAGAACUGACAUCUUCUCUCCUCCGCUGCGGCUCUUCUAUCCCUCCACUGUGUUCACUGUCCAUCUGUCCCUAGUUAUCUGCCCCGAUCCCUCUAUCUCACAGUCUCUAAAAGCUCCCAGCAUCCCUCUGUCCCUGAGUUCUAAAGUCACAGGAUGUUUGAAAGGCAAAGGCAUUGUAUCAAUGCCCUGCAUCCUGCAUCCCAUAUUCCAUCCAAAAUCGCCUAUGUCACCUCCUCCAGCUGCCCAGCCUAAAACAUAUUAAACUGAAAAUGUAUUUUCAACAGGAAAAAGUGAACUGCUUAAUAAAUGGUGCUAGGAAAAACUGCUGGCCAUUUAGAGACAAAUUAGACUCCUCCUCCUACCUAGAUCAAAAACAAAAAUAAAUCGGAGUUCCUAUUGUGGCUCAGUAAGUUACAAACCUGACUAAUAUCCACGAGGAUUCAGGUUCGAUCCCUGGCCUUGCUCAGUGGGUUAAGAAUCUGGCUCAGAUCUGGCGUUGCUGUGGCCGUGGCAUAGGCGGGCAACUGCAGCUCCGAUUUGACCCCCAGCCUGGCAACUCCAUAUGUUGCAGUGCCGCCCUAAAAAGCAAAAAAAAAAAAAAAAAAAAAAAA